RNAcentral lists this ribosomal RNA (853 nucleotides) under Wolbachia endosymbiont of Enoplognatha ovata. RNAcentral's name for it is "bacterial SSU rRNA". It matches the Rfam family "Bacterial small subunit ribosomal RNA", at positions 93 to 983 of the family's 1533-position model. The record is from RNAcentral. Lineage: Bacteria; Pseudomonadati; Pseudomonadota; Alphaproteobacteria; Rickettsiales; Anaplasmataceae.
UAGUGGCAGACGGGUGAGUAAUGUAUAGGAAUCUACCUAGUAGUACGGAAUAAUUGUUGGAAACGGCAACUAAUACCGUAUAUGCCCUACGGGGGAAAAAUUUAUUGCUAUUAGAUGAGCCUAUAUUAGAUUAGCUAGUUGGUGGAGUAAUAGCCUACCAAGGCAAUGAUCUAUAGCUGAUCUGAGAGGAUGAUCAGCCACACUGGAACUGAGAUACGGUCCAGACUCCUACGGGAGGCAGCAGUGGGGAAUAUUGGACAAUGGGCGAAAGCCUGAUCCAGCCAUGCCGCAUGAGUGAAGAAGGCCUUUGGGUUGUAAAGCUCUUUUAGUGAGGAAGAUAAUGACGGUACUCACAGAAGAAGUCCUGGCUAACUCCGUGCCAGCAGCCGCGGUAAUACGGAGAGGGCUAGCGUUAUUCGGAAUUAUUGGGCGUAAAGGGCGCGUAGGCUGGUUAGUAAGUUAAAAGUGAAAUCCCGAGGCUUAACCUUGGAACUGCUUUUAAAACUGCUAACCUAGAGAUUGAAAGAGGAUAGAGGAAUUCCUAGUGUAGAGGUGAAAUUCGUAAAUAUUAGGAGGAACACCAGUGGCGAAGGCGUCUAUCUGGUUCAAAUCUGACGCUGAGGCGCGAAGGCGUGGGGAGCAAACAGGAUUAGAUACCCUGGUAGUCCACGCUGUAAACGAUGAAUGUUAAAUAUGGGAAGUUUUACUUUCUGUAUUACAGCUAACGCGUUAAACAUUCCGCCUGGGGACUACGGUCGCAAGAUUAAAACUCAAAGGAAUUGACGGGGACCCGCACAAGCGGUGGAGCAUGUGGUUUAAUUCAAUGCAACGCGAAAAACCUUACCACUUCUUG